Molecule: small RNA, 125 nt
Filed under: Marmota monax (woodchuck)
Lineage: Eukaryota; Metazoa; Chordata; Mammalia; Rodentia; Sciuridae
Source: RNAcentral
GCCAGGCGCAAUGGCACACGCCUGUAAUCCCAGCAGCUCGGGAGGUUGAGGCAGGAGGAUCAUGAGUUCAAAGCCAGCAUCAGCAAAAGCAAGGCACUAAGCAACUCAGUGAGACCCUGUCUCUC